Potamilus streckersoni is the source of this 73-nucleotide non-coding RNA. The record is from the annotation of a GenBank genome assembly. Lineage: Eukaryota; Metazoa; Mollusca; Bivalvia; Unionida; Unionidae.
GCUCCGAUGGCCUAGUGGUUAGAGCGUCCACCUCGGAUGCGGGAGGUCCUGCAUUCGAUUCCCGCACGAGUCA